CUCUAUCCUUCCAGCCACGCGUGUCGUCUUCUCUCGUACGGCAGUCUUCCAGCUCUCUCUACCGGCCGCGCGUCUCCCUGCCCAGCGCUCCCUCCCUGCUUCUUCUUCUCUACUCCCUCGCGGCGACCUUCCCUCUGCCAUCUCCAGGCCCGCGCCCCUGCUCUGCUCUCUGUCCGGCCAUGGCCGCCGUGACGAGACCUCCUUCCCCGCACGCAGCUUUUCCCCUGCUCCUCCGGCGCCGCGAGCUCCAGAUCGGAUUUGGUCUAGCCGCGCCCAGCUCGCCAUGGCCACCGAGCUCGGCCCUGCCCUCAACGUCGGCCAUCUCCUGCUCCCUCCAAUGGCGCGCGCGCCCUCCCUGCUCCAUCUCCCUCCGCGCCACGCUCCUCUCUACCGCGUUCCCGCUCAGCCGACCCCGUGGCUCCCUGCGCGCGCGUUCUCCCGCGCCCAGCUAUCUUCUCUAUCCCUCAGCUCUCCCUCGCGUCUUCAUCUCCCUGCUGAGCUCGGUUCCUUGGCUGCAUGCUCAUUCCCCGCCCCAAGCUCACCGCGGUCUAUUGCUUCAUCUCUUUCUCGCGUCGUUCGGUCUGCGUGUCCCCGCGCCCGGUUUUCGUUCCCGUCACGCCGAUCCGAGCUCGCCGUCCCCUUUCCUUGUUGUGGGGGUUGGUCGUUGCUGCUAGGCUCCGCUGAUGCGCGCGAUUUGCCAGCCAAGUUCCUUCACCGGUGGUCUCCUCGUCACGUGCGCUGGUCGCCUUGUGUGCUCGGCCACGGGCGACAUCGAGCCGUCGAAUCCCGCCCUCCUCAACUUGGCACUCCUUACAUAGCCGUCAUCGCUCGUAUUCCUUACUGUGCGCAUGAGCUUCACUGUUUGGUUGUCAUCGCGCGAGCUCCUCUGCUAGACCCGUCGUCAUUUUUCAGCUCCUUACCGUGCUCGGCUGUUCAUCGUCAUCAUCCGGCCGUGCGAUGAAUUGACAGCCCCGGCACUCGUCCUUUGUCCGUGUCGUUUAGACCAUGGUUUCCUUGUCCGAGCUUCAAAUCCAUAGUUUGUUGCUCCCGUCAACUAGCUCGCCAUGACGUUUCUCGCCAGUGAAGCAUAGUCGCCGCGCCCUAUGUCCUUGUCGUGCUCGUGAAGAAGUUGUGGAGUUGCCGUCAUUCAUCUCCACGUCGUGGGUACAACAACGUUGUCGUUCACUCCACGGAACUCGUCGUCAACCUUAUCUCCAGGAGACUGAUCCUGGAGUUGCAUGAAAAUGUGAGAAAAGUCCGUGCAACAAUUGCUAGGAGCUCGACCGGAUGUCUAAACUGAGAGCCGUCGUCGCCCUCGCAGUUAUCAAAUCGAUUCGAUCGUGGUACGAUAAUUAAACACAUGAUGUGGAAAACCAGAGCUGAGUCAACCAUAAGAUAAUGUUAAGCGUGAGCUUUUCCACAAGAUGAUGCUGAUGGAUUAACCUGAAGAUGGAUAAUCUAAACAAGUGCCAAGACAAAGGAUGGUCGUCAAGUGAUCGACGUCUAACAAACACUAACGUAGUGUUAUCCAGGUUACGAGUCACUUGAUUGUGAUUGGUGUUAAGCGCCGGUGGGCACGACCUUCUAUAAGUUUAAGUACUUCUUCUAUACUUCUUAUUGAGUAUGGUCACUUAAGCUAGCAUAUAUAUUUCAAAACUACAAAUAAUUUAUAACAGUUCAAAGUUAUUUCCUUGAAUCACUUUUGUAAUCACUCCGAUCAUGUACAUUGUAAACUUGAUGUAACUUGUAAAAUUUGGAAAUAAGAUUUCCGCUGCAAAAUGUUGGUGUGUGAUUUGUGUUUACUUAAUCCUGUGAUCCUGGUUGUAAGUGGUUUAUCUGAGGUCCUUGGGGCACUCGGACAGAUCCUGUUAAGUUAUCUGGUGCACAUGCAUAGCUGUUGGGGACUUGUCCUCAAAUACUAUGAAUUAAGAACAAGGCAACACAAGAUGUUAAAUGUUAAUGCCCUUCGUCCUUCGAAGCAUUAUUUCCCCUAGGAAAUAAUGAUCUCCAGACGAAGGUUAUGAAGGUCAUACCUUCAUCAUUGUAGUAUAUGUCAAAUAAAAGAAGAGGCAUAUGACAUACAGGAGACAACAUAAACAAUCAUAUAACAUUAUUAACUCAUUCUUAAUUAUAUAAUCAUGGAAAGAAAGAAACAAUACUGAAUUACAAAAGUACCUUCGGCUUGACAGAAGGCAAGAAAGUACAAGCAUGAUGCAAAAAGCAAGUACCAGUCAGCGUGAACAGUAUGGGGGUACUGUUCACCUAUUUAUAAGCACAAGGCGCAACCUAUGAGAAAUUACAGUCAUGCCCUUUACAUUUACUAUUGUCUUAUAGAAAAAUCUAUGAGGACUGGAUUGCCUUUUCCCCUUUAGGUCGGUUCCUUUUCCCGCGAUUGAGCCGAAGCUUCUUUGCGCAUAGCUUCGAAGCUGCGUCAUCCUUCGUCUCGCCCAUGCCCUUCAUCGUAUAUGCCUUUAAUCCUGAAUCCGAAGGUGCCUGUAUAUAAACCAUGCUUGAAAGACACUGCUAAAUU
RNAcentral lists this unclassified non-coding RNA (2530 nucleotides) under Zea mays. Its description in RNAcentral is "misc RNA Zm00001eb087000". Lineage: Eukaryota; Viridiplantae; Streptophyta; Magnoliopsida; Poales; Poaceae. The record is from RNAcentral.